RNAcentral lists this ribosomal RNA (406 nucleotides) under uncultured bacterium. RNAcentral's name for it is "bacterial SSU rRNA". It matches the Rfam family "Bacterial small subunit ribosomal RNA", at positions 969 to 1375 of the family's 1533-position model. The record is from RNAcentral.
CCUUACCAGGUCUUGACAUCCUCGGAAUUUGGCAGAGAUGCCUUAGUGCCUUCGGGAGCCGAGUGACAGGUGCUGCAUGGCCGUCGUCAGCUCGUGUCGUGAGAUGUUGGGUUAAGUCCCGUAACGAGCGCAACCCUUGUCCUUAGUUGCCAGCACUUCGGGUGGGAACUCUAGGGAGACUGCCGGUGACAAACCGGAGGAAGGUGGGGACGACGUCAGGUCAUCAUGGCCCUUACGACCUGGGCUACACACGUGCUACAAUGGCUGGUACAGAGGGUUGCUAAGUCGCGAGGCGGAGCCAAUCCCUUAAAGCCAGUCGUAGUCCGGAUCGGAGUCUGCAACUCGACUCCGUGAAGUCGGAAUCGCUAGUAAUCGCGGAUCAGAAUGCCGCGGUGAAUACGUUCCC